RNAcentral lists this ribosomal RNA (424 nucleotides) under uncultured bacterium. RNAcentral's name for it is "bacterial SSU rRNA". It matches the Rfam family "Bacterial small subunit ribosomal RNA", at positions 356 to 773 of the family's 1533-position model. The record is from RNAcentral.
AGGGAAUCUUCCGCAAUGGACGAAAGUCUGACGGAGCAACGCCGCGUGAGUGAUGAAGGUUUUCGGAUCGUAAAGCUCUGUUGCCAGGGAAGAACGUCUUCUGGAGUAACUGCCAGGAGAGUGACGGUACCUGAGAAGAAAGCCCCGGCUAACUACGUGCCAGCAGCCGCGGUAAUACGUAGGGGGCAAGCGUUGUCCGGAAUUAUUGGGCGUAAAGCGCGCGCAGGCGGCUGUUUAAGCCUGGUGUUUAAUCCUGGGGCUCAACCCCGGGUCGCACUGGAAACUGGACGGCUUGAGUGCAGAAGAGGAGAGUGGAAUUCCACGUGUAGCGGUGAAAUGCGUAGAGAUGUGGAGGAACACCAGUGGCGAAGGCGGCUCUCUGGUCUGUAACUGACGCUGAGGCGCGAAAGCGUGGGGAGCAAAC